AAAAGUAGGUGAGGCGGUUGCGGACUCAAUAUUUGGGGUCUGAGGAAAGUCCGGGCUCCCGAAAGACCAAGCUUGCUGGGUAACGCCCAGUGCGAGCGAUCGUGAGGAUAGUGCCACAGAAAAAUACCGCCCUGUUUAUCGGGGUAAGGGUGCAAAGGUGCGGUAAGAGCGCACCAGCAGUGUCGUGAGGCACUGGCUCGGUAAACCCCGGCUGGGAGCAAGGUCGGAGGAAAAAUGGUUGGUCUUUUUCCAAUUCCGUUGCAUCACAGAUUUAUCUAUGGUGUUAGGUGUACCGCAAGAGGUGUCUGGUGACAGGCAUCCCAGAUAGAUAACUGCCCUCUUAACUGGUUUCAGUUAAGGGAACAGAACCCGGCUUACUUCCUACUUUUUUCU
Molecule: RNase P RNA, 393 nt
Filed under: Okeania sp. SIO2F4
Lineage: Bacteria; Bacillati; Cyanobacteriota; Cyanophyceae; Oscillatoriales; Microcoleaceae
Description: RNase P RNA component class A
Rfam family: Bacterial RNase P class A
About the family: Ribonuclease P (RNase P) is a ubiquitous endoribonuclease, found in archaea, bacteria and eukarya as well as chloroplasts and mitochondria. Its best characterised activity is the generation of mature 5'-ends of tRNAs by cleaving the 5'-leader elements of precursor-tRNAs.
Source: RNAcentral